Helianthus annuus (common sunflower) is the source of this 827-nucleotide long non-coding RNA. RefSeq lists it as uncharacterized. The transcript is spliced from 2 exons. The record is from RefSeq and is a predicted model, not a curated record. Lineage: Eukaryota; Viridiplantae; Streptophyta; Magnoliopsida; Asterales; Asteraceae.
UUUAAAGGGUUACAAGUUUGAUUCGAUAAAUGGAUUGCAGAUAAGUGUCCCUUUCUUCCAAAACUAUUUUUGGUGUUACAAGUUUAGAUUAUGAUGUUUUGCACUUGGCUUGGACUGCAAAUACUCAAGUUGUUUAGAUGGUUCUUUCAUGUGGUGUUGAUGGUUCAGGUUCAACUUUGAGAUAUCCUAUGACCCACAUGGCACAUGGCAUAUGACCCGUGGUUCGUGGCCCGUUUCAGGAGGAUGGUUUUGAUAAAUUAAACGUGAGAAUUGAGAUUAUGGCUGCAAUAAACAGUUUAACCAUAACAGUUUGGAAUUGCAAAUGACUAGCUGCAGAAACGAAGACGAAUCCAUAGACCAUGAUUUCACUUGUCUUACAGCCGCGAAUGUUUGGCAGCACAUCAGCUCCUGGCGCAAAUCACUCAGAUGCAUUUCUUCUCCGUUAAAGAUAUAUUUGAUUAUCAUAAGCUCUUACCAGAUCAAAGCAGCAAGAGACGGCUCAUGCAAGUGGUUUUGUUGGUCUCUUGCUGGUAUAUUUGACGGGCCAGGAAUAGGUGUAUAUUUUGGGGGAGAUCAAUUUUUGUAGUUACUUGUGGAUUUGCAAUCAGUCAAAGAAGUUGGGUCUAGAUUGGACCAACUGGAAGUGUUUUGAUGUGUAAUUUUGUUUGUUAGCUGUAGUUGUUUUGCUUUGCAUUAGGUUGGUUUCUAAUGAAAGUCGUCGUUCGAAAAAAAAAUUGUUUGGAUAAUGGCUGCCAAAAAACAUGUGCAGGCUAUUUUGAACAAUAAUCAUUGAGCAAGUUGUUUUGAACCAACUGUUUGCGUAAUCA